Non-coding RNA from Anas platyrhynchos (mallard), 2540 nucleotides. The record is from RefSeq and is a predicted model, not a curated record. Lineage: Eukaryota; Metazoa; Chordata; Aves; Anseriformes; Anatidae.
UAAAAUAAAAAAGGAAGAAAAAAAGAAAAGCAAAACCAGACAGACAUGUCAAGAAUGUCAUAGUGCAAGUAUACCUUAAAGCAAAAGAUGGCAGUACCUCAGCAGACUGGAAGUUUGAGGCAGCCAGCUCAGCCUUGUGCCUUUGACUGCAAUUGACCUGAGUUACACUUAACAAAACCUCAUGGAUCCUGCCCACAAGGAAGAAUUUAUUCCACAGUCCUGUUUAACUGAUUUGAGAUCUCUCAGGACAACAAAUAAAGGAAGAAGUACUGAAAAGAGAAAGAAGCUGUGUACCAGGUAAAGCUUUACAUGUAACCUUUUUCUACUUCCUUGAAAUAGAGGAGAUAAACCCAGAUCCAGUGUCCACUAGAACUUAGAUCUUUUAAGAGACCAACCUGAGGAAGCCUGUAGCAGAAAGCCCAGAAAGUUAUUUACUGCAGAGCCAUUCCUCAUUCUACGUAAUUAUGGACAAAAUACAUUGUUCUGCAUGAUAGGCCUGUAACAAUUUCUUCUUGGAAAUGUACUCUCUUGUAUGAGACAAAGCAUCUGAAAAUAUAGCCAGAAAAUAAAGAUAGAUUCUCAAAUAGCAUAAUUCUACUGUUGUUCAAUGUAAAAUACUGAAUUACUGUUUUGGGGGUAAGUCCACAUCAUCUAAAAACUUAAUGUAAGGUGUAAGGAAAUUUCAGUACAAUUUCAUCUACACUAUCAUUAUUCAGUUUUUCUCCCUUGUCAACUGCAAUUUCACAUUCUGCAUUUAAAACUAUAUCAUCUCUAGGCAUAUACGGAUUUCAUGUUUGUCACAGAGAUUCAAUGAACCAUAUAUGUUCAUGUGUAUACAAUGAUGUUUCUAUCUCAGACAAUGUAUGUGUGCUAACAUAUCUAGGUCUGAGAGAUUAACAACAGCACUCCAAACUACCUAGAUUUUGUACUUAGAACAUUUUUUUUUUUUUUUUUUUUUUUUAAUGGUUGUCUUACAAACAAGUACUUCUAUGUAUAUGUAAGAUAAUCCUUACCACUAUGUGUGUAAACAAACAGCUCCAUACAGUAAAGAAUCCUAUUAUUUGUUGCUACAGCACAUGUGCUCAGUCUCAUUAUCAUCCAGAAGACCCAGUUCUGUGUAUACACCACAGAAUUUACCGCAGAACUGGAAUGUAGCAAUACAAACCAAACUUUUUAUGCAUAUGAAGCCCUCACAUACCAGAACAGAAUAGAACAGAAAUUCCUAAAGAAUAAGUGUUCAAACAGUAUUAUAGCACAUCCUGAAUUGUAGUGUAUAAAAUAGCCCAAACUUAGCUGAUUUGAUUUUCUUCAGUUAUUUAAAUCUCAUUACAUAUGCCCUAUUUAAUUCCCUCUCCAUUUAAAUUGAUAUAAAACAUGAAAAAUCCUGUAAAUAAUUUAGUGUGAAAAAAUAUACAAGCUAAUUAAAAGCUAAAACUUGAAACCCAAACACAUUGUAAACACUUUUCUUUUUAAGAAGAGAGAACUUUUUUUUUUUUCAUUUUUGAAGCUGUCCUUUGUUUUGUUUUGAAGAACCAAUGAGAUUUUGUAGUAUACUUUUACAGAGUAAAACUGCUUACAAAGAAACCUUUAGGUUUCAAUUCCUUUGAUUUCAUAUUACCAACAAGGGUUUGGUGGAUUUUUUUUGGUUUAUUUUUAAUGCUGUUUAAAUUAUAAUUAAAUGAAUAAAACCUACAUGUAUUCUUUACCAUGCAAUGUAAUUUUCUGUAAUUACAAAUUAAAAAUGUCAUCAUGAUUAUUAAUUGCUCUCUUUAAUUGUAAUUUGAGCAUUUGAAUGCCACCUUACAAGAUAUUACUGAGGUCAGACUUUGGUGGCAGAUGUCAGUGGGAGGAGUGGAGGAGACAGGAGAAAGAUGGUGCAUUAAUGCAGCAGCACUUUCCAUCAGCAGAUCCAUGUGCCACAGACAUGUAGAAGGUAAUAAUUAAAAACAAAAAAAUCCUCUCCUUUUAUUCAUGAGUUGCACUGCUGUAUACUUCACUUUUAUGCCCAAUAGAUCUUAAAACAGAUAUUCAUACAUUAAGCUGUUCUUGCUCUUCAACAAUUUUCAGGUAAAGAUCUUCCUGAAAAUAUAAUAAGUGUAACAUCUAAUUAACAUUUUACAUUCAUUUGUAUUAUCUACUUUCAAAAUGAUGAGAAUUAUCCAAAUAAGAUUUAUGACCUUAUGUUAAUCUGACUGAAACUGCAUCAUGUUCAUUUUUUUCUUCCUCCUUUUUUUCAGAAAUUUCAAAGUAGCUUUUUUCAAGAGGCUCAAGAGACCUGUUUUCAAAUGCACAUUAAGACACAUACUGUUCACAUUCCUGUUCCCUGCCAUCUGUGGAGAUCUUCAAAUAUUCAAAACACAGUUCCAAAGGAUUCCAGUUCUAUUCCUACUAUUUGACAUUUUUAUUCCUAUUCUUUAAUAGUUCAGUCAUUAAACGUAUUAAUGAAAAAUCUCUUUUUGAAAUAUGAAAAAUGAGUCAUAGUUUCUGGUAAAAUAAAACUGUGUUUAUCAUUUCAAUGAAAUAAAGAAAUGCUUAAGUAA